GCCGGGCGCGGUGGCUCAAGCCUGUAAUCCCAGCACUUUGGGAGGCCGAGACGGGCGGAUCACGAGGUCAGGAGAUCGAGACCAUCCUGGCUAACAUGGUGAAACCCCGUCUCUACUAAAAAAUACANNNNNNNNNNUGUAUUUUUUAGUAGAGACGGGGUUUCACCAUGUUAGCCAGGAUGGUCUCGAUCUCCUGACCUCGUGAUCCGCCCGUCUCGG
This 219-nucleotide signal recognition particle RNA is filed under the name Chlorocebus sabaeus (green monkey). RNAcentral's name for it is "Metazoan signal recognition particle RNA". It matches the Rfam family "Metazoan signal recognition particle RNA". Rfam says of the family: The signal recognition particle (SRP) is a universally conserved ribonucleoprotein. It is involved in the co-translational targeting of proteins to membranes. Lineage: Eukaryota; Metazoa; Chordata; Mammalia; Primates; Cercopithecidae. The record is from Rfam by way of RNAcentral.